RNAcentral lists this ribosomal RNA (447 nucleotides) under uncultured bacterium. RNAcentral describes it as "bacterial SSU rRNA". It matches the Rfam family "Bacterial small subunit ribosomal RNA", at positions 355 to 825 of the family's 1533-position model. The record is from RNAcentral.
UGGGGAAUCUUGGACAAUGGGCGCAAGCCUGAUCCAGCCAUGCCGCGUGGAUGAUGAAGGCCUUAGGGUUGUAAAAUCCUUUCGUGGGGGACGAUAAUGACGGUACCCCAAGAAGAAGCCACGGCUAACUACGUGCCAGCAGCCGCGGUAAUACGUAGGUGGCAAGCGUUGUCCGGAUUUAUUGGGUUUAAAGGGUGCGUAGGUGGCCCUGUAAGUCAGUGGUGAAAUAUCUCAGCUUAACUGAGAGGGUGCCAUUGAUACUGCAGGGCUUGAGUACAGAUGAGGUAGGCGGAAUUGACGGUGUAGCGGUGAAAUGCAUAGAUAUCGUCAAGAACACCGAUAGCGAAGGCAGCUUACCAAGCUGUAACUGACACUGAGGCACGAAAGUGUGGGGAUCAAACAGGAUUAGAUACCCUUGUAGUCCCUGAGCGGGCUGGCAAGGCGCAU